RNAcentral lists this ribosomal RNA (497 nucleotides) under uncultured bacterium. Its description in RNAcentral is "partial 16S ribosomal RNA". It matches the Rfam family "Bacterial small subunit ribosomal RNA", at positions 28 to 507 of the family's 1533-position model. The record is from RNAcentral.
GAUGAACGCUGGCGGCGUGCCUAAUACAUGCAAGUCGAGCGAACGGACGAGAAGCUUGGUUCUCUGAUGUUAGCGGCGGACGGGUGAGUAACACGUGGAUAACCUACCUAUAAGACUGGGAUAACUUCGGGAAACCGGAGCUAAUACCGGAUAAUAUUUUGAACCGCAUGGUUCAAAAGUGGAAGACGGUCUUGCUGUCACUUAUAGAUGGAUCCGCGCUGCAUUAGCUAGUUGGUAAGGUAACGGCUUACCAAGGCAACGAUGCAUAGCCGACCUGAGAGGGUGAUCGGCCACACUGGAACUGAGACACGGUCCAGACUCCUACGGGAGGCAGCAGUAGGGAAUCUUCCGCAAUGGGCGAAAGCCUGACGGAGCAACGCCGCGUGAGUGAUGAAGGUCUUCGGAUCGUAAAACUCUGUUAUUAGGGAAGAACAUAUGUGUAAGUAACUGUGCACAUCUUGACGGUACCUAAUCAGAAAGCCACGGCUAACUACGUG